Paramuricea clavata is the source of this 768-nucleotide non-coding RNA. NCBI's taxonomy places the organism in Eukaryota, Metazoa, Cnidaria, Anthozoa, Malacalcyonacea, Plexauridae. The record is from the annotation of a GenBank genome assembly.
GUAUUAUAGUAACAAACUAACAAAGUUUUUAAUAAAUAAAUUAAAUAAUGAAUAGUUUUUUUAAGUUUUCAAUUUCGUAAUAAGUACAUUAUACAUUUUAUACAGGUAGACUAGUUAGUCAGUUAAUUACUUAGAUUUUAGACCACCUAUUGCGCAUGUUUCCCCAUGCUGUUACGACUUCGUCCAAAUCCAGCAAAUCAACAACAUCUCUGUUUAACGAAAUGCAUAAAAGAUCACUUAAUAGGCUUCGUAUUUGCAUCCCCAAUGAACAUCGAUUUGCUGCGUAAUAUGUUUAACUUGUUUGCUAGGAUAAAUUUUUCUGUGGAGUGAUUCUUACUCUUGUCUGAUCUUGUAGUGUAGUAGCGAACAGAGAAAGCAAGCUCUUCUCUCUUGCCCUUGUCUUUGCUUUCGUCGAUCAGUGCACUGAAGCACUCGGCAGUAGCGAUCUGAUGGCAUAUCUGGUUCCGUAUCUGAACCGCCAGUAUAGACAGCAUUUCAUUGAGAGACGUUGUACUAGUGUAGUCCACAAGAAGCCUUUUAAUUAUCUGUUAUCGCUUGGUGGAGACUUCGAAACUCCUUGUUGGUCUUCAGUUGCAUCUUUAUAAAAGUUCUCCAGUUACACGGGUUCUUCGAAUCAGCCGCCUCGUCAUGGUCCAGGAAUGUUAUUUCGUUCAUUGCAAACCAAAUUACAUACUGGAACAGAAGUUUAAAUUAAAGUACUCUCUGUUGUUUUGAGUUGCUUUCGCUUGGUCGGGAACCAGUUUCGCG